This 460-nucleotide ribosomal RNA is filed under the name uncultured bacterium. Its description in RNAcentral is "partial 16S ribosomal RNA". It matches the Rfam family "Bacterial small subunit ribosomal RNA", at positions 338 to 795 of the family's 1533-position model. The record is from RNAcentral.
CCUACGGGGGGCAGCAGUGAGGAAUAUUGGUCAAUGGGCGCAAGUCUGAACCAGCCAUGCCGCGUGCAGGAAGACGGCUCUAUGAGUUGUAAACUGCUUUUGUACGAGGGUAACCGCAGAUACGCGUAUCUGUCUGAAAGUAUCGUACGAAUAAGGAUCGGCUAACUCCGUGCCAGCAGCCGCGGUAAUACGGAGGAUUCAAGCGUUAUCCGGAUUUAUUGGGUUUAAAGGGUGCGUAGGCGGUCGGUUAAGUUAGCGGUGAAAUCCCGAGGAUCAACUUCGGAAUUGCCGUUGAUACUGGUCGGCUUGAGAGUAGUUGAGGUAGGCGGAAUGCAUGGUGUAGCGGUGAAAUGCUUAGAUAUCACACAGAACACCGAUUGCGAAGGCAGCUUACCAAGCUACUUCUGACGUUGAGGCACGAAGGUGCGGGGAGCAAACAGGAUUAGAUACCCGGGUAGUC